UGUACUAGUCUGCAUUCCCACCAGCAAAACACAAGGAUUCCUUUUUGUCCACAUUCUCACCUGCACUUGUUAUUUGUUGAUUUGUGGAUGAUAGCCAUUCUGACAGGUGUGAGAAGUUACCUCAUUGUUGUUUUAAUUUGAAUCUUUCAGAUGAUUUGUUACUUUGACCAUUUUUUUCCAUAUACCUCUUGGCCUUCUGUAUGUCUGCUUUCCAGAAAUGUGUAUUUAGGACC
Pipistrellus kuhlii (Kuhl's pipistrelle) is the source of this 233-nucleotide long non-coding RNA. RefSeq lists it as uncharacterized. Lineage: Eukaryota; Metazoa; Chordata; Mammalia; Chiroptera; Vespertilionidae. The record is from RefSeq and is a predicted model, not a curated record. The transcript has 3 exons.